GACGAACGCUGGCGGCGUGCCUAAUACAUGCAAGUAGAACGCUGAAGGAGGAGCUUGCUUCUCUGGAUGAGUUGCGAACGGGUGAGUAACGCGUAGGUAACCUGCCUGGUAGCGGGGGAUAACUAUUGGAAACGAUAGCUAAUACCGCAUAAUAGUAGAUGUUGCAUGACAUUUGCUUAAAAGGUGCAAUUGCAUCACUACCAGAUGGACCUGCGUUGUAUUAGCUAGUUGGUGGGGUAACGGCUCACCAAGGCGACGAUGCAUAGCCGACCUGUGAGGGUGAUCGGCCACAAUGGGAAUGGAACACGGCACAGACACCUACGGGAGGCAGCAGGAGGGAAUCUUCGGCAAUGGACGGAAGUCUGACCGAGCAACGCCGCGUGAGUGAAGAAGGUUGUCGGAUCGUAAAGCUCUGUUGUAAGAGAAGAACGAGUGGGAGAGUGGAAAGUUCACACUGUGACGGUAUCUUACCAGAAAGGGACGGCUAACUACGUG
RNAcentral lists this ribosomal RNA (495 nucleotides) under uncultured bacterium. RNAcentral describes it as "partial 16S ribosomal RNA". It matches the Rfam family "Bacterial small subunit ribosomal RNA", at positions 28 to 507 of the family's 1533-position model. The record is from RNAcentral.